RNAcentral lists this unclassified non-coding RNA (2186 nucleotides) under Hevea brasiliensis (rubber tree). Lineage: Eukaryota; Viridiplantae; Streptophyta; Magnoliopsida; Malpighiales; Euphorbiaceae. The record is from RNAcentral.
CACACACACACCCACCCAAUAAAAAACAAAAAAUUCAAGUCGUUACAAAAGCUUUUACUGAACAAACCCAAAUUUACUCAUCAACAGCCAAUAAAUUCUUACUUGGGGAUGAUUAAUUUCUCAGCAAUUUACACCAUAUGUAGCCAUUUGUAGCGAAUUCAAUCUAUUUCCUCGUGAACUGUACUUCUAUGAACUCUGCAAAAUAGGCAAUGUUUCUAUUCUUUAUUACGAAACAGUAAUAAUUUCUGUUCAUUAAUGGCCUGAAGAUUGUGGUAGACGGAAAGAACCCCCUGCAUAAAGCAUUUGGUAAACUGGCCGUAAUCUAACUGUAAGGAUUAUGCUCAGAAUGGUGCCCAACCCACAAAUGCCAGCUAAAACUAGGAAUGUCACCUUGAAACAAUCAGGACCUACACAGGUAGAACUUCCUUGCUUGGUAGCUUCUGCAUCAUACACAUAACCAGCAAGCAGCCCGGAUAAAACAAGUGCACCGAUAGGAUUUCCCAGCAACAUAAAGGCAUAAAUUAUGCCAAAAUGUUUCAAGCCGAAAAGUUCAGAGGCAGUUGGCACCAUUAUGGAAUAUAGAAUACCAUAGCAGACACCGAUCAUAGCAGUUGCAACAUAAAGAAUACCAUCAAGAGCUAAUGCAAAUAGAAUGAAUAUCAGGACCAUGAUCAUUUGUGCAAGUGUCAUCCACACAGUUCGAGGAAUUGUUUUUGACCUGACAAAGUGCUCAGAAACAGCACCCGAGCCAAGACGGCCAACAAAAUUGCAAAAGCUGAAGACAGCAAGCAAUAUUGUUGUAUCAUCAAGACCAUAUGCAAUCCCAAUUUGAGCCAAAUUAUUGAGAAUGGUAACUCCAGAACCAACUCCAAGAAAGUAUACCAACCAAAGAAGCCAGAAAUCAGCCUUGAUUAAAGCCUGGGCAAAUUUAAAAUCCUCCCCUCUCUUAGGUUUCCUUUUCUUUUUCACUGCUCCCUCUCCCUCAGCUAGAAGUAUUUCUACAUCUGAAGCAUCCUCACUAUCAAGAAAACUUCCAAGAUAUGAAGCUGAUGAAGAUGGUGUCAACAAAGGAUUUGUUGGGGCCGAUUCACCUACUGCUGAAACCAGACUAUCUGAAGAACCAGUUGCUGGGAUACGUUUCUCAGGUCUUACAGGAAAAAGAGUCAUUUUGAAAGGAAUUGCAAGAGGAGACAUCAAAAUAAUAACCAUUAUGGCAACUAAUAUGUAUGAAACAGUAUCACUUAAAGGAAUCACAUCACUUAUUACAGUGGAUAUGAGAAGAUAAAGGGCAAGCACAACACUUGCAGCUUGGGUGAAAAUGAAAUGGACAUGGACAGAAGAGUCUUCUCCAGAAGCUGGAGUACAGGGCCGAACAAAGAACAUCAUUGCUAGACAAAUAAUAGGAAUGCCAAUUGUAAGGAAUAGCAGAAGCUUUGAAGCAGAGUCACCAAGCACCAAAUUGAAAAGCACAGUAUAAACUGCAGCAGAGAUCCCAACAUAACCUUUGAGAAUGCCAGAAACAGUACCCCUACUGAGAGGGAAGUUUCUCAUAUUGGUUACAAGUACAGCUGUGCCAAACCAUGCGUUGCUAUUAGUGCCAACAACAAGUGCAAGCCAUAACAGCCAAUAAGGUAAACCGGAGACCGUUUGGCUAACAGCAAGCCAAAGAACGCCAUACCCCAAGAAACAAAAAACGACACCCACAGAAAGCACAGCCCAAGGGGGGAACUUGUUGAUGACAAUACCAGGGAUCAAACCCACAUUCUCUCCAAUAUCAUUAGCCACUCCAAGAAUUGUUACCUGCUGCUGGUUGAAUCCAAGCACUGAUUUGAGAGCAGUAGAGUAGAGUGGGAAGUUGUAGCCAUUCCCUGCAGCCACCUGCACCCAUGCAGCGGCUGCCAAUCCCACCCAAGGUGGCCUACUCCCAGGUUUAAGCACUAUAUUUGGCAUCUUAGAUCACAUGAUAUGAUAUUUUUCUUGUUAAAUGGUCUCUGUUUCCACACCCGAAAGGGAACUUUUAGAGUUCUCUUUGGAUAUAGAUCUUCUCGUUCCAACUCCCAACUAGGGCAAGACAUACAUAUGGAUGCAUACAAAGAGAGCGGAAAGCCUGUAGAGGAUAGGUGAAGAUUUAACGAUUAGCCGGCCCCCAGUCAAACUAAAUUUUUUUCCCUGUGUGAAAGAAAAAA